This is a long non-coding RNA of Solanum stenotomum, 233 nucleotides long. RefSeq lists it as uncharacterized. The transcript has 3 exons. The record is from RefSeq and is a predicted model, not a curated record. Lineage: Eukaryota; Viridiplantae; Streptophyta; Magnoliopsida; Solanales; Solanaceae.
CUUCAGUAACCUUAUCAAUGGCAUGUGGGGAUUCCCUAAUCCUUCUUCACUUUUGUCCUAGAGACGGGAUAAACAAUUCGACGAACUUGAAAUUUAGAGGAAUCGGAGAAUCUACGAGCAGUGGCGAUGGAGAUAGAUUCAGGUUCAUUUUCAUGUAACUGAUAUGCCCAUAAUUCCAAAGAUCAAGAGGCACAACACAUCUCUUCUAGUGAGCAUAUCAAGGAACUCCAAGG